GAACUUACCUGGCAGGGGAGAUACCAUGGUCACAAAGGUGGUUUUCCCAGAGUGAGGCUCAUCCGUUGCACUGCAGGUAUGCUGACCCUUGAGAUUUCCUCGGAUGUGGGAAACUCGACUGCAUAAUUUAUGCUAGUGAGGCACUGCGUUAGUGCUUUCCCCUG
Small nuclear RNA from Chelonoidis abingdonii (Abingdon island giant tortoise), 164 nucleotides. Its record names the gene U1. It matches the Rfam family "U1 spliceosomal RNA". Rfam says of the family: U1 is a small nuclear RNA (snRNA) component of the spliceosome (involved in pre-mRNA splicing). Its 5' end forms complementary base pairs with the 5' splice junction, thus defining the 5' donor site of an intron. There are significant differences in sequence and secondary structure between metazoan and yeast U1 snRNAs, the latter being much longer (568 nucleotides as compared to 164 nucleotides in human). NCBI's taxonomy places the organism in Eukaryota, Metazoa, Chordata, Testudines, Testudinidae. The record is from Ensembl.